RNAcentral lists this transfer RNA (82 nucleotides) under Actinomycetaceae bacterium. RNAcentral's name for it is "tRNA-Leu". It matches the Rfam family "tRNA". From Rfam's summary of the family: Transfer RNA (tRNA) molecules are approximately 80 nucleotides in length. The record is from RNAcentral. Lineage: Bacteria; Bacillati; Actinomycetota; Actinomycetes; Actinomycetales; Actinomycetaceae.
GCGCGAGUGGCGGAAUUGGUAGACGCGCUAGAUUUAGGUUCUAGUGCCUGCGGGCGUAGGGGUUCGAGUCCCCUCUCGCGCA